UCUAGAACUCGAGAUAUGGGCUAAACACUGAAUAGUGUCUGGGCUACAAGACAGAUUCCGACUUUUCUUUUGUUGCUACAAUUUGAGCUUGAAAAUGACUGUUUUGAACCUUGGACUCCAAUGAAAAUUUUAGGCCUAUAUCUUAGCUUUCCAUC
Non-coding RNA from Populus trichocarpa (black cottonwood), 155 nucleotides. The record is from Rfam. Lineage: Eukaryota; Viridiplantae; Streptophyta; Magnoliopsida; Malpighiales; Salicaceae.